RNAcentral lists this transfer RNA (99 nucleotides) under Methylorubrum suomiense. Its description in RNAcentral is "tRNA-Ala". Lineage: Bacteria; Pseudomonadati; Pseudomonadota; Alphaproteobacteria; Hyphomicrobiales; Methylobacteriaceae. The record is from RNAcentral.
CGCGACCACGGCGCGUUCCGGACGCGCGCCGCCCGGUCUGCGGCCGGGUGGGCGGGGAUGCGGAUCAGUCUCCGCUCGGUUCGAGUCGUCAGGGCGCGG